UUGCAGUUGAUAUAGUUCUAAACAAUGAAAUGCACGAGGCCACAAAAAUAUUUGUGGAGGUAUGCCACAUGAAUUCGCUUAAUAUAAUGUAACAGGUUUAGGCAAAACUGAAACUAUAUAAUCCCGAAUGUGUUAAUGCAGGGGCUGAAGCCAGUGUCGAAAGGAAACAUGAUUCCCAAUAGCAAGAUAGAGGAAUGCAAUGAGAUGAUAAAGAAUGAAACAGCUUGCCAAUGCUCCUUCACUUGCUCUGUCAUCGAUUCUCCAGCUGAUAAUCCGAAACAUAAGGAGCCAUUAUCUGCUCCAUUUUAAGCCCCUGUCCUCGUUUAGAGUUCUGGCUCUCUAUAUGUUUUCAUUUCUCUGUAUCUUUGUUUCCUUGAAAAUUAUUAACUACGAUUAAUGAUAUUAGCAUAAUUGUCAAUGAUCUUUUCUUGUUGUAGCCAACAGAUUGCAGAAAUAUAUCUCAAUCUCAAGGUCACUGACUGAGCCAGGGCCAGUCUGUUUGGUUUAGUUGUCAUAAAAAAAAGUUAC
Molecule: long non-coding RNA, 528 nt
Filed under: Daucus carota (carrot)
Lineage: Eukaryota; Viridiplantae; Streptophyta; Magnoliopsida; Apiales; Apiaceae
Description: long non-coding RNA (DCAR_LNC004018)
Source: RNAcentral